AUGGACCCUGACGGCGACGCGCGGCAUCAGCAGCGGCGGCGGCGACCGGAGGAGGAGGGCCCGGCGGUGUCGCUCCGGCCGCUGGGCCUGGCGGACGUGGACGACUUCAUGGCGUGGGCGUCGGACGAGCGCGUGAUGCGCCACCUGAAGCGCCCCCUGUGCGCGACGAGGGAGCAGGCCGUGGCGCAGAUCAGGGACACCGUGCUCGGCCACCCGUGGUUCCGCGCCGUCUGCGUGGCGGGGCGCCCCGUGGGGCAGGUGUCCGUGUGGCCCUACCCGGACGACGGCGGCCACCGGGCCAACCUCGGCUACGCGCUGGCGCACCGCCACUGGGGCCGCGGCAUCGCCUCCGCCGCCAUCAGGAUGGUGGUGGGGAGGGUGUUCGAGGAGCUGCCGGGGCUGGGGAGGCUGGAGGCGGUGACGGACGUCGGGAACGCGAGGUCGCAGAGGGCGCUGGAGAAGGCCGGGUUCCAGAGGGAAGGGGUGCUGCGCAGCUACAUCGUCCGCCCCGGCGCCGGCGACGGCGAGGCCAGGGACGCGGCGGUGUACAGCUUCUUGUCCUCCGACCCUCGUCCUCCGCUCGCGUGA
Molecule: ribosomal RNA, 588 nt
Filed under: Triticum aestivum (bread wheat)
Lineage: Eukaryota; Viridiplantae; Streptophyta; Magnoliopsida; Poales; Poaceae
Description: partial small subunit ribosomal RNA
Source: RNAcentral